Molecule: ribosomal RNA, 379 nt
Filed under: uncultured bacterium
Lineage: Bacteria
Description: bacterial SSU rRNA
Rfam family: Bacterial small subunit ribosomal RNA
Source: RNAcentral
AUUGAACGCUGGCGGCAUGCCUUACACAUGCAAGUCGAACGGCAGCACGGGAGCUUGCUCCUGGUGGCGAGUGGCGAACGGGUGAGUAAAGCAUCGGAACGUGCCCUGAAGUGGGGGAUGACGUAGCGAAAGUUACGCUAAUACCGCAUAUUCUGUGAGCAGGAAAGCAGGGGAUCUUCGGACCUUGUGCUUUAGGAGCGGCCGAUGUCGGAUUAGCUAGUUGGUGAGGUAAAGGCUCACCAAGGCGACGAUCCGUAGCGGGUCUGAGAGGAUGAUCCGCCACACUGGGACUGAGACACGGCCCAGACUCCUACGGGAGGCAGCAGUGGGGAAUUUUGGACAAUGGGCGCAAGCCUGAUCCAGCCAUGCCGCGUGAGUG